GACGAACGCUGGCGGCGUGCUUAACACAUGCAAGUCGAACGGAAAGGCCACCACUUUUUUGGUUGGUGUGCUCGCGUGGCGAACGGGUGAGUAACACGUGGGUGAUCUGCACUUUACUUCGGGCUAAGCUAGGGAAACUGGGUCUAAUACCGGAUAGGACCUUGGUUUAGUUUCUGAUGAUGGUAUAAUUAUUGUUUUGGUGCAGGGUGCGCUCGCGGGCUAUGAGCUUGUUGGUGGGGUAAUGGCCUACCCAGGCGUCGACGGGUAGCCGGCGUGCGAGGGUGUAGGGACACAUUGGGACGGAGAUAAGGCCCAGACUCCUACGGGGGGCAGCAAUGGGGAAUAUUGCACAAGAGGAGCAAGCCUGAUGGAGUGACGCCGCGUGUGUGAUGACGGGCUUCGGGUUGUAAAAUCGUAUCGCUAGGGACGAAGCGUAUUUGUGACGGUACCUGGAGAAGAAGCACCGGAUAACUACGUG
Molecule: ribosomal RNA, 478 nt
Filed under: uncultured bacterium
Lineage: Bacteria
Description: partial 16S ribosomal RNA
Rfam family: Bacterial small subunit ribosomal RNA
Source: RNAcentral